UUCACCACAUCUGAUGUGGAUAACAUGCAUUAUGCUGCACUGUAUGUUCUCUCGUCUUGUUCAAUUUUCUGAUUCAUAUUUACAAAUAUACCCAAGCCUCUACAAGACGUAAUCUUUAUAAAUUUAUCCUGGAUACAAUUGGAUUUCAUCUUUGUUUUAGGGGGAUUAAAAAUUCUGGACUCUUUUAAAGACAUUAGUAUUACAAAUUUCAGUGCACAGAUGCAUUUAUCUCCCACAUAUGUCCUCUUCUCCUCUCUAUUCCAGAAGAAAACCAUCACAUAAGCCACCUCAAAGAACUGACUGUGCAGACAUUUUGCAUGUGCAUGUUGCCAUCUUCACUGCACCUGUUAGUGACAAUAAGAGAGAGGGUUUUGUCAAAGUCAGGACCAGGAGGGGGGAGAAGACAUCUCUUCAUGUGCAAUAGAGUUGAAUGUCACUGUAAAUGCCAACAUUAGUGCAAAUGCUUGGCUCAGAUUUGUUGCCUCCAUGACAGGAAAUGUUUCUUCCAGUGCAAAGAUAUUGAUUUCAGUCUCUUUCAAACUCAGCAGCCCGCCUCACUGCAUGACAGAUAAUUGGUUUUCCAACAGGUCUUAGGUAGCAUGAUAAACCCUACAACAUGUAAACAUGCAUAUGCGCAUCAUUUCAUGGCUUCAUUAUUUGUAUUUUUUUAAGAAUGGGAUUGUUUCACUGGCUUGUUUUUUUUAAUACAAAAAUAAUUACAACAAUUGAUCUGUUGUUGCGGUAAAUACAUAUGGUCUCUCUGUGUGUUUGUGCAGUCAUGCACGCAAAUGUUAGGAUGAUUGUAGCUAUGAAAAAAAGAUGCUCCAUUUGUGAUAUUUACGCUAUCAUUAAAUAAUCAUUUUAUUGCACACAAAA
This is a long non-coding RNA of Micropterus salmoides (largemouth bass), 876 nucleotides long. RefSeq lists it as uncharacterized. The transcript is spliced from 2 exons. The record is from RefSeq and is a predicted model, not a curated record. NCBI's taxonomy places the organism in Eukaryota, Metazoa, Chordata, Actinopteri, Centrarchiformes, Centrarchidae.